UACAGAGGUGGCAAGCGUUGUUCGGAAUUACUGGGCGUAAAGGGCUCGUAGGCGGCCAACUAAGUCAGACGUGAAAUCCCCAGGCUCAACCUGGGAACUGCGUCUGAUACUGGAUGGCUUGAAUCCGGGAGAGGGAUGCAGAAUUCCAGGUGUAGCGGUGAAAUGCGUAGAUAUCUGGAGGAACACCGGUGGCGAAGGCGGCAUCCUGGACCAACACUGACGCUGAGGAGCGAAAGCCAGGGGAGCAAACGGG
This 253-nucleotide ribosomal RNA is filed under the name uncultured bacterium. Its description in RNAcentral is "partial 16S ribosomal RNA". It matches the Rfam family "Bacterial small subunit ribosomal RNA", at positions 524 to 776 of the family's 1533-position model. The record is from RNAcentral.